CGGGCUGCGGGAAGAGGUGCCAAUCUCAGCUUCGUGGAUAUGACUUUCACUGCUUUUUGGGGGAUUUCGUUCUCAACCGUAAGCAAGAUCUCGCUGCCUUUGUUGUAACCGCUGGUCGAAGCCACUACAGUGGUUUUCUUUUUGAUUUCUCGCGAUGCUCCACCUGUCAAUCAUCUGACUUGUGACUGGCAGGUAGAUGGCCCCAUUCACCUGUCAAUGAUGGCAAGUGGGAGAUGACGACCAAGCAGAAUUGAACCCUGUCACCCAUCAGCUGAGCAGUGGGGGUUCAAUCCCACUUUCUGCAAGGAUCUACUGUUAAUGUCACCAGCCCACUGGGGUGAUUGACAGAAAGAAAAUUCAGCCACCUUCAUCAUUUGGCUCUGGCGACAUUAGCAGUGACACCCCUCCCCACAGGAACACACAGGUGGAAGACUAGCUUCUGGAAUGUGGCCAGUGCUGACUUUGCAGUAGGAUGCAUAGACGUUUCAUCGGCAUAAGGGGGGAAACAACUGCCUUUGCUUUGAGUACAUGAAAACAAACGGCUGGUCCCAAACAAAAAACAAACCAACCCAUAUUCUUGGAACAAAACCAGUGUCAUCUGAAGAACAUCCUCCUCCUCCUGGCACAGUGCAUCUCAAAACAUGGAUCACUGUGGAUCAACACUGUCCGUCCAAGGAGACUUGCCAUAAACUUGGAACAUGUGUAAAUUUUGUGUCUUUGCUUGGAAGAGAAUUGGAAGCAAGAGGUCAUGUGUGGUUUCAGAUAUAUUCAAGGACCUGGAACAAGGAUUCUGUUAUGACUAAAAGAAGGCUGGGGAGAAUCUCUGGCUCACUUCUCUUGUCAACUGCUGGUUAAAAACAUAAUACAGGAUUUAAAAAUAUAACACCCCACCCCCAUAUAAAAUAUAUUUUCAUGUAUAAAAUCCCAAAGAAGGUGCAAGUAGUAGGAUCCAGCCCCAAACACGCCGAGUUAUGUAGGUGCACGUGAUGGAUAGUCUGAUGGAGGCUUGGUCCAUUUCCUGGAGGGGGGAUGCUGGUUGCUAGGAUACAGCUUUGUCCUCCAAAGCAAGGUACACAAAGCUGACUAACCUAUGGAGCAAACAGACAAAGUUAGGGAAACUGACU
Long non-coding RNA from Podarcis muralis (Common wall lizard), 1124 nucleotides. RefSeq lists it as uncharacterized. Lineage: Eukaryota; Metazoa; Chordata; Lepidosauria; Squamata; Lacertidae. The record is from RefSeq and is a predicted model, not a curated record.